This 207-nucleotide ribosomal RNA is filed under the name uncultured bacterium. RNAcentral's name for it is "partial 16S ribosomal RNA". It matches the Rfam family "Bacterial small subunit ribosomal RNA", at positions 568 to 774 of the family's 1533-position model. The record is from RNAcentral.
CGCGCAGGCGGUUUCUUAAGUCUGAUGUGAAAGCCCACGGCUCAACCGUGGAGGGUCAUUGGAAACUGGGGAACUUGAGUGCAGAAGAGAAAAGCGGAAUUCCACGUGUAGCGGUGAAAUGCGUAGAGAUGUGGAGGAACACCAGUGGCGAAGGCGGCUUUUUGGUCUGUAACUGACGCAGAGGCGCGAAAGCGUGGGGAGCAAACA